This 460-nucleotide ribosomal RNA is filed under the name uncultured bacterium. RNAcentral describes it as "partial 16S ribosomal RNA". It matches the Rfam family "Bacterial small subunit ribosomal RNA", at positions 338 to 795 of the family's 1533-position model. The record is from RNAcentral.
CCUACGGGAGGCAGCAGUGAGGAAUAUUGGUCAAUGGACGAGAGUCUGAACCAGCCAAGUAGCGUGAAGGAUGACUGCCCUAUGGGUUGUAAACUUCUUUUAUAUGGGAAUAAAAUGUUCCACGUGUGGGAUUUUGUAUGUACCAUAUGAAUAAGGAUCGGCUAACUCCGUGCCAGCAGCCGCGGUAAUACGGAGGAUCCGAGCGUUAUCCGGAUUUAUUGGGUUUAAAGGGAGCGUAGGUGGAUUGUUAAGUCAGUUGUGAAAGUUUGCGGCUCAACCGUAAAAUUGCAGUUGAAACUUGCAGUCUUGAGUACAGUAGAGGUGGGCGGAAUGCGUGGUGUAGCGGUGAAAUGCUUAGAUAUCACGAAGAACUACGAUUGCGAAGGCAGUUCACUGGACUGCAACUGACACUGAGGCUCGAAAGUGUGGGUAUCAAACAGGAUUAGAUAUCCCGGUAGUC